This 290-nucleotide long non-coding RNA is filed under the name Mytilus galloprovincialis (Mediterranean mussel). The record is from RNAcentral. Lineage: Eukaryota; Metazoa; Mollusca; Bivalvia; Mytilida; Mytilidae.
AGCAAGCAACAAUCAUCAAUAUCAACCAAUUAUAAUUAUGAAAUAGUUGAUACUGAACGUAAAUCAAAUAAAAAUGAAUCAAUCAUAUCAACGAAAUACUUAUCAUUUUACGUUAAACAAUCAACAAUUAUAAUUCUUCAUAUUAAUAUCUAAAAAAUAUUUGCCACUGGACGUUCGGCAAUCAAGAAUGAGAACGAAGCACUUGCCACUGGACGUUAAACAAGCCCGACAAUAAAAUAAUUCUCAACUGUUUGUACCGAGUUGACAAAAAUGUGAGUGACUAGAAAAGA